RNAcentral lists this ribosomal RNA (808 nucleotides) under soil bacterium enrichment culture clone KUNVGMPRP3. Its description in RNAcentral is "bacterial SSU rRNA". It matches the Rfam family "Bacterial small subunit ribosomal RNA", at positions 666 to 1503 of the family's 1533-position model. The record is from RNAcentral.
AUUUCUUGUGUAGGAGUGAAAUCCGUAGAUAUAAGAAGGAACACCAAUGGCGUAGGCAGGUUACUGGGCUAUUUCUGACGCUAAGGCACGAAAGCGUGGGGAGCGAACCGGAUUAGAUACCCGGGUAGUCCACGCCGUAAACGAUGGAUACUAGCUGUUGGAGGUAUCGACCCCUUCAGUAGCGAAGCUAACGCGUUAAGUAUCCCGCCUGUGGAGUACGGUCGCAAGACUAAAACAUAAAGGAAUUGACGGGGACCCGCACAAGCGGUGGAUCGUGUUCUUUAAUUCGAUGAUAAACGAAGAACCUUACCAGGGCUUGACAUCCUUGGAAGCACUGCGAAAGCAGAGUGUGCCUUUUGGAACCAAGUGACAGGUGUUGCAUGGCCGUCGUCAGCUCGUGUCGUGAGAUGUUUGGUUAAGUCCAUCAACGAGCGCAACCCUUGUGAAUAGUUGUAUUUUUCUAUUCAGACUGCCCCGGCAACGGGGAGGAAGGAGGGGAUGAUGUCAGGUCAGUAUUACCCUUACGUCCUGGGCUAGAAACACGAUACAAUGGCUAGUACAAUGCGCAGCGAAGCCGCGAGGUGGAGCAAAUCGCAUCAAAGCUAGUCCCAGUUCGGAUAAGAGGCUGAAACUCGCCUCUUUGAAGUCGGAAUCGCUAGUAAUCGCAAAUCAGCAAGUUGCGGUGAAUACGUUCCCGGGUCUUGUACACACCGCCCGUCAAACCAUGAAAGUCACCAACACCCGAAGUCCGAUUCGUCGGCCUAAGGUGGGGGGGAUGAUUGGGGUUAAGUCGUAACAAGGUAGCCGU